This 426-nucleotide ribosomal RNA is filed under the name uncultured bacterium. RNAcentral describes it as "partial 16S ribosomal RNA". It matches the Rfam family "Bacterial small subunit ribosomal RNA", at positions 354 to 796 of the family's 1533-position model. The record is from RNAcentral.
GUGAGGAAUUUUCCGCAAUGGGCGAAAGCCUGACGGAGCAAUGCCGCGUGAAGGAUGAAGGCCUAUGGGUUGUAAACUUCUUUUCUCAGAAAAGAAUUAUGACGGUAUCUGAGGAAUAAGCAUCGGCUAACUCUGUGCCAGCAGCCGCGGUAAGACAGAGGAUGCAAGCGUUAUCCGGAAUGAUUGGGCGUAAAGCGUCUGUAGGUUGUUUAAAAAGUAUUCUGUCAAAGAUUAGGGCUUAACCCUAGAUAGGCAGAAUAAACUUUUAAGCUAGAGUUUGGUAGAGGCAGAGGGAAUUCCCGGUGGAGCGGUGAAAUGCGUAGAUAUCGGGAGGAACACCAAAGGCCGAGGCACUCUGCUGGGCCAAUACUAACACUGAGAGACGAAAGCGAGGGGAGCAAAUGGGAUUAGAUACCCGAGUAGUCC